UUAUGGAGAGUUUGAUCCUGGCUCAGGAUGAACGCUGGCGGCGUGCCUAAUACAUGCAAGUCGAGCGAACCACUUCGGUGGUGAGCGGCGAACGGGUGAGUAACACGUAGGUUAUCUGCCCAUCAGACGGGGACAACGAUUGGAAACGAUCGCUAAUACCGGAUAGGACGAAAGUUUAAAGGUGCUUCGGCACCACUGAUGGAUGAGCCUGCGGCGCAUUAGCU
Molecule: ribosomal RNA, 224 nt
Filed under: Blautia wexlerae
Lineage: Bacteria; Bacillati; Bacillota; Clostridia; Lachnospirales; Lachnospiraceae
Description: partial 16S ribosomal RNA
Rfam family: Bacterial small subunit ribosomal RNA
Source: RNAcentral